GGGGGCAUGGCUCAGUUGGUAGAGUGUUUGUCUAGCAUGCACAAAGCCCUGGGUUCAAUCCCCAGCAUCUCCC
Molecule: transfer RNA, 73 nt
Filed under: Neotoma lepida (desert woodrat)
Lineage: Eukaryota; Metazoa; Chordata; Mammalia; Rodentia; Cricetidae
Rfam family: tRNA
About the family: Transfer RNA (tRNA) molecules are approximately 80 nucleotides in length.
Source: Rfam by way of RNAcentral